UACGAAGGGUGCAAACGUUGCUCGGAAUCAUUGGGCGUAAAGCGCACGUAGGCGGUCCACUAAGUUGGAUGUGAAAGCCCCGGGCUCAACCCGGGAAGUGCAUACAAAACUGGUGGACUUGAAUAUGGAAGAGGGUCGCGGAAUUCCCGGUGUAGAGGUGAAAUUCGUAGAUAUCGGGAGGAACACCAGUGGCGAAGGCGGCGACCUGGGCCAAUAUUGACGCUGAGGUGCGAAAGCGUGGGGAGCAAACAGG
Molecule: ribosomal RNA, 253 nt
Filed under: uncultured bacterium
Lineage: Bacteria
Description: partial 16S ribosomal RNA
Rfam family: Bacterial small subunit ribosomal RNA
Source: RNAcentral